Molecule: ribosomal RNA, 752 nt
Filed under: uncultured Rheinheimera sp.
Lineage: Bacteria; Pseudomonadati; Pseudomonadota; Gammaproteobacteria; Chromatiales; Chromatiaceae
Description: bacterial SSU rRNA
Rfam family: Bacterial small subunit ribosomal RNA
Source: RNAcentral
CAGGUGCGAAAGCGUGGGGAGCAACUUUAAUGGCUACCUGGUAGUCCACGCCGUAAACGAUGUCUACUAGCUGUUCGUGGUCUUGUACUGUGAGUAGCGCAGCUAACGCACUAAGUAGACCGCCUGGGGAGUACGGUCGCAAGAUUAAAACUCAAAUGAAUUGACGGGGGCCCGCACAAGCGGUGGAGCAUGUGGUUUAAUUCGACGCAACGCGAAGAACCUUACCUACUCUUGACAUCUAGCGAAGAUUGCAGAGAUGCAGUUGUGCCUUCGGGAACGCUAAGACAGGUGCUGCAUGGCUGUCGUCAGCUCGUGUUGUGAAAUGUUGGGUUAAGUCCCGCAACGAGCGCAACCCUUAUCCUUAGUUGCCAGCACGUAAUGGUGGGAACUCUAGGGAGACUGCCGGUGAUAAACCGGAGGAAGGUGGGGACGACGUCAAGUCAUCAUGGCCCUUACGAGUAGGGCUACACACGUGCUACAAUGGUACGUACAGAGGGAGGCAAGCUGGCGACAGUGAGCGGAUCUCUUAAAGCGUAUCGUAGUCCGGAUCGCAGUCUGCAACUCGACUGCGUGAAGUCGGAAUCGCUAGUAAUCGCAAAUCAGAAUGUUGCGGUGAAUACGUUCCCGGGCCUUGUACACACCGCCCGUCACACCAUGGGAGUGGGUUGCAAAAGAAGUAGGUAGCUUAACCUUCGGGAGGGCGCUUACCACUUUGUGAUUCAUGACUGGGGUGAAGUCGUAACAAGGUAACC